RNAcentral lists this ribosomal RNA (255 nucleotides) under uncultured bacterium. RNAcentral describes it as "partial 16S ribosomal RNA". It matches the Rfam family "Bacterial small subunit ribosomal RNA", at positions 524 to 776 of the family's 1533-position model. The record is from RNAcentral.
UACGUAGGAUGCAAGCGUUGUCCGGAUUUACUGGGCGUAAAGCGCGCGCAGGCGGCACUCUAAGUACGCUGUGAAAUAUCCCGGCUCAACCGGGAGGGUGCAGUGUAGACUAGGGAGCUAGAGGUCGGUAGAGGGGGGUGGAAUUGCUGGUGUAGCGGUGAAAUGCGUAGAGAUCAGCAGGAACACCCGUGGCGAAGGCGGCCCCCUGGGCCGUACCUGACGCUGAGGCGGCGAAGGCUAGGGGAGCCGAACGGG